AUUCCUUACUAAAACCUUGAUGUUUUCUUCUUCACCAUUUUUUCUCUCUUUCUCUUCUUUUCUCACUAAUUUAUAUCUCUCUCUCUCGCUCUAAACCUUUGAAAAAUGGAAGAAAUGGAAGUGUGGAGAAGAAGGGAAGGUGAAGGAAAAUUUAUAGAAUUUCAGAAUAGUUGGAUUCGUGCCAAAUUACUAAAUCCAGUGAAGAGAGAGGAUAAAAAGAUU
RNAcentral lists this long non-coding RNA (222 nucleotides) under Carica papaya (papaya). Its description in RNAcentral is "long non-coding RNA (CPAP_LNC011018)". Lineage: Eukaryota; Viridiplantae; Streptophyta; Magnoliopsida; Brassicales; Caricaceae. The record is from RNAcentral.